Molecule: unclassified non-coding RNA, 367 nt
Filed under: fungal sp.
Lineage: Eukaryota; Fungi
Description: partial internal transcribed spacer region
Rfam family: Eukaryotic small subunit ribosomal RNA (bases 1-46)
Source: RNAcentral
AAGUCGUAACAAGGUUUCCGUAGGUGAACCUGCGGAAGGAUCAUUAACACGUAUCCAACGUUAAACCCCCCGUGAACUUUUAUUGCGAACCGGUAAAUCAUCGCCGAACAGUUUUGAUUCAGGGAUCUCUGCGAAGAGAGCGGUUGUAGCGCGAGGUAAGUGGCCUGGCAUUCCUCUGCUUGUUAGUGUCUGACAGUGUCACUAGCUCUGUACGAAUGGCGCAGUCACGAUCGCUAGAGGCCGACACGGCCGGCGACCGGGUCACCGGGCAUAGACCCCCCUAUCACCUUUGCAUGAAAACGGGCCUGCGCUUAAUUGUGCGGCCACCAAACUCGAACAACUGUUAACAAUGGAUAUCUUGGUUCUC